Molecule: ribosomal RNA, 663 nt
Filed under: Triticum aestivum (bread wheat)
Lineage: Eukaryota; Viridiplantae; Streptophyta; Magnoliopsida; Poales; Poaceae
Description: partial small subunit ribosomal RNA
Source: RNAcentral
AUGCUGUCAACUACAGAAUUUAUUCAGGUUGCGGUUACUCUUUGGGCACUCUGGUUCUCUAGGAGACAUGCAUUGCAUGAGGAUAUAUUCCAAAGUCCUCUAUCUACGCACCACUUCAUUCGAAGGUAUAUCAGGGAACUGGAAGAGUGCAAGCCAAAGAUUUCUUCUGUACCGGCUGGACAAAACCAACAUCAAGCACCUCCGAGAUGGAUCCCACCUCCGCUUGGUUCGGUAAAGAUAAGAGUUGAUGGUGCAGUUUCAAGAAACCAAACUGAAGGUUCUUUCAGUGCAGUGUGCAGGGAUGCCUCGGGGCCUUUCUUGGGUUCUUCAGCUAUUAGAGUACGGGACAUCACUGAUCCAGCAACUUUGGAAGCCUUAGCAUGUCGAUAAGCGCUUGCCCCGGCUACGGACUUAGCAUUAUCACAUGUGAUCGUCGCCUCAUAUUGCCAAGGAGUGGUCAAGGAUAUCCACAAACAGGAGGGAGGGAUGUAUGCAAGUAUUGUGAAGGAAAUCGUCGAGACAGCAAGAACUAUCGAUGACUGCACCUUCAUCUUUGAGGGUAGAGUUACAAAUUUUGAGGCACAUAGCAUCGCUAAACACGCUUUCGAUCUGAAUUUUGGGCGCCAUGUGUGGCUUUUAAACCCCCCAGACCAAGGUUUUUGA